GAUGAACGCUGGCGGCGUGCUUAACACAUGCAAGUCGAACGAAGCAUUUAAGACAGAUUCCUUCGGUUUGAAGUCUUUUAUGACUGAGUGGCGGACGGGUGAGUAACGCGUGGGUAACCUGCCUCAUACAGGGGGAUAGCAGCUGGAAACGGCUGGUAAUACCGCAUAAGCGCACAGUACCACAUGGUACAGUGUGAAAAACUCCGGUGGUAUGAGAUGGACCCGCGUCUGAUUAGCUAGUUGGCGGGGUAACGGCCCACCAAGGCGACGAUCAGUAGCCGACCUGAGAGGGUGACCGGCCACAUUGGGACUGAGACACGGCCCAGACUCCUACGGGAGGCAGCAGUGGGGAAUAUUGCACAAUGGAGGAAACUCUGAUGCAGCGACGCCACGUGAGUGAAGAAGUAGUUCGCUAUGUAAAGCUCUAUCAGCAGGGAAGAUAGUGACGGUACCUGACGAAGAAGCUCCGGCUAAAUACGUG
RNAcentral lists this ribosomal RNA (481 nucleotides) under uncultured bacterium. RNAcentral describes it as "partial 16S ribosomal RNA". It matches the Rfam family "Bacterial small subunit ribosomal RNA", at positions 28 to 507 of the family's 1533-position model. The record is from RNAcentral.